This 623-nucleotide ribosomal RNA is filed under the name Streptomyces sp. RNAcentral's name for it is "bacterial SSU rRNA". It matches the Rfam family "Bacterial small subunit ribosomal RNA", at positions 255 to 891 of the family's 1533-position model. The record is from RNAcentral. Lineage: Bacteria; Bacillati; Actinomycetota; Actinomycetes; Kitasatosporales; Streptomycetaceae.
GGGCGGAAGCCUCAAAGCGACGACAGGUAGCCGGCCUGAGAGGGCGACCGGCCACACUGGGACUGAGACACGGCCCAGACUCCUACGGGAGGCAGCAGUGGGGAAUAUUGCACAAUGGGCGAAAGCCUGAUGCAGCGACGCCGCGUGAGGGAUGACGGCCUUCGGGUUGUAAACCUCUUUCAGCAGGGAAGAAGCGAAAGUGACGGUACCUGCAGAAGAAGCGCCGGCUAACUACGUGCCAGCAGCCGCGGUAAUACGUAGGGCGCAAGCGUUGUCCGGAAUUAUUGGGCGUAAAGAGCUCGUAGGCGGCUUGUCACGUCGGAUGUGAAAGCCCGGGGCUUAACCCCGGGUCUGCAUUCGAUACGGGCUAGCUAGAGUGUGGUAGGGGAGAUCGGAAUUCCUGGUGUAGCGGUGAAAUGCGCAGAUAUCAGGAGGAACACCGGUGGCGAAGGCGGAUCUCUGGGCCAUUACUGACGCUGAGGAGCGAAAGCGUGGGGAGCGAACAGGAUUAGAUACCCUGGUAGUCCACGCCGUAACGUUGGGAACUAGGUGUUGGCGACAUUCCACGUCGUCGGUGCCGCAGCUAACGCAUUAAGUUCCCCACUGGGGAAGAGUAUACGGAA